This 29-nucleotide non-coding RNA is filed under the name Mus musculus (house mouse). The record is from RNAcentral. Lineage: Eukaryota; Metazoa; Chordata; Mammalia; Rodentia; Muridae.
UACAUGCAACUCGAAUGGCAGAGUGUCUC